RNAcentral lists this ribosomal RNA (440 nucleotides) under uncultured bacterium. Its description in RNAcentral is "partial 16S ribosomal RNA". It matches the Rfam family "Bacterial small subunit ribosomal RNA", at positions 338 to 795 of the family's 1533-position model. The record is from RNAcentral.
CCUACGGGAGGCUGCAGUGGGGGAUAUUGCACAAUGGGGGAAACCCUGAUGCAGCGACGCCGCGUGGGUGAAGAAGCGCCUAGGCGCGUAAAGCCCUGUCAGCAGGGAAGAAAAUGACGGUACCUGAAGCAGAAGCCCCGGCUACCUACGGGCCAGCAGCCGCGGUACUACGUAGGGGGCAAGCGUUAUCCGGAUUUACUGGGCGUAAAGGGGGCGCAGACGGCGAUGCAAGCCAGGAGUGAAAGCCCGGGGCCCAACCCCGGGAGUGCUCUUGGAACUGGGUGGCUAGAGUGCAGGAGGGGCAGGCGGAAUUCCUGGUGUAGCGGUGAAAUGCGUAGAUAUCAGGAGGAACACCGGUGGCGAAGGCGGCCUGCUGGACUGCAACUGACGUUGAGGCCCGAAAGCGUGGGGAGCGAACAGGAUUAGAUACCCGAGUAGUC